GAGAUCCCCAGGACAGGCGGGACUCCCCG
RNAcentral lists this ribosomal RNA (29 nucleotides) under Arrhenatherum palaestinum. RNAcentral's name for it is "partial 26S ribosomal RNA". Lineage: Eukaryota; Viridiplantae; Streptophyta; Magnoliopsida; Poales; Poaceae. The record is from RNAcentral.